GUUACUAUUGGAUUUCAGUUAAUGGUUAUCAACGUUUUAAUCUAAGAGGGUUUAAUGUAUCACUGUAAAUAGCAAGGCGUGUUCCAUGUUUUCAGUGGUCAUUUGUGUAAGGAUUCAUCUACAUUCACUUAAAUAAUUGCAUAUAAAGGAAAUUCUUGUUAUUUCAAAUAUUUAUGUGCUUCUUAUAGUGCCUUGGAAUCCAAAGGGUUAUAUUGUGUUUAUGUCAGAGAGGCACUCAGGGGGGUGGAGACCAGGACAUCUGGUGCAGAUUCUUCCUAGCUGAAGUGUGUUUUCUCUGGGGACAAUCAUCUACCAUUUAAUUGUUUUGCUUCCUUUUUUGGGAAUAUAUGCCCAUCCUGUGAUGUCCUAAGUCUCCAAGCAUCUUAUUUGACCUGUUUAUACUCAUUUGACUAGCUAUCCAUAUAUGACUACAUUGACGUGGUAAAGCUUUUACAUUCCUGUCCAGAUUGAAUCCUUCCAUCUGUUAUCAGUUAAGCCGUGGAAAAACUGUUAUGGAAAGCAAAUAUGUUUUGAUACAUUUAAUGUGUAAAGUAGGAACCUAGAUUCUGGAAUGCUGUUGAUCAAUAAAUGAACUAGAAUCUCUUCAAAACAACACUUAAGCCCCACUGUUUUACUUUCCAUACCAAGUUUGGCUGUGGCUGAAUGAAGAACACCAGCAUUGAUCUUUGCUUUGCACUUGUACAAGAGACUAUUUGUAGGGAGCCAAAUAUAGCCACAGAGGAUUUAAUAUCUUGCCAAAAAAUACAGAAUCUGUUCCCCUUUAAGCACGACACUCUAUCCUUUUCUUGUGGAUCUUGCUAAAAGGAAAAUAUAACUUUCAACUAGCCCAUUCCUCUGCUAGAAGUUCCCUAAUCUUUUUCAAAUGGGCUAUGUGUGGUUUUCAGGAGAUUUAUGGUUC
This 919-nucleotide long non-coding RNA is filed under the name Bos taurus (domestic cattle). RNAcentral describes it as "long non-coding RNA NONBTAT000274". The record is from RNAcentral. Lineage: Eukaryota; Metazoa; Chordata; Mammalia; Artiodactyla; Bovidae.